UAGGGAAUCUUCGGCAAUGGGGGGAACCCUGACCGAGCAACGCCGCGUGAGUGAAGAAGGUUUUCGGAUCGUAAAGCUCUGUUGUUAAGGAAGAACGAGUGUGAGAAUGGAAAGUUCAUACUGUGAAGGUACUUAACCAGAAAGGGACGGCUAACUACGUGCCAGCAGCCGCGGUAAUACGUAGGUCCCGAGCGUUGUCCGGAUUUAUUGGGCGUAAAGCGAGCGCAGGCGGUUAGAUAAGUCUGAAGUUAAAGGCAGUGGCUCAACCAUUGUAGGCUUUGGAAACUGUUUAACUUGAGUGCAGAAGGGGAGAGUGAAAUUCCAUGUGUAGCGGUGAAAUGCGUAGAUAUAUGGAGGAACACCGGUGGCGAAAGCGGCUCUCUGGUCUGUAACUGACGCUGAGGCUCGAAAGCGUGGGGAGCGAACAGG
This 429-nucleotide ribosomal RNA is filed under the name Bacteroidota bacterium. Its description in RNAcentral is "Bacteroidetes bacterium partial 16S ribosomal RNA". It matches the Rfam family "Bacterial small subunit ribosomal RNA", at positions 355 to 776 of the family's 1533-position model. Lineage: Bacteria; Pseudomonadati; Bacteroidota. The record is from RNAcentral.